This 1235-nucleotide long non-coding RNA is filed under the name Crocodylus porosus (Australian saltwater crocodile). RNAcentral describes it as "lncRNA (ENSCPRG00005018535.1)". Lineage: Eukaryota; Metazoa; Chordata; Crocodylia; Crocodylidae. The record is from RNAcentral.
UAUGUGCAUAGCUAACAUUUGUGUAUAUUUUAAUUAAGGUUGUAUGUCUUACCUACUAAGAGCCUCAUACCCCAAGAGAAAUCAAUGAGUCCCCUGCAGUGGUGUAGACACUUUUUGGAUCAUCCAACUCCUGAGAUAGAAGCCGCAAAACGUUCCCUGUGCUUUAGACUGGAACAAGGUUAUACUUCCAGAAGUUCCCCUCUCAGCCCUCAGUCAUCAAUAGACAGUGAACUGAGCACUUCGGAACUUGAGGAUGAUUCUAUCUCCAUGGGAUACAAACUACAGGACCUCACUGAUGUUCAGAUCAUGGCUCGACUGCAGGAAGAAAGUCUCAGACAAGAUUAUGCUUCUACUUCAGCCUCUGUGUCAAGACACAGUUCAAGUCUAUCUCUACAUUCAGGAAAGAAAGGGACAUGCAGUGAUCAGGAAUAUGAUCGCUACAGUCUUGAGGAUGAAGAAGAGUUUGACCACCUGCCCCCUCCACAGCCUCGACUUACUCGUUGUUCACCAUUCCAAAGAGGAAUUCCACACUCACAGACUUUUUCCAGUAUUCGGGAGUGCAGAAGAAGCCCCACUUCACAGCAUUUCCCUUCAAAUAAUUAUCAGCAGCAGUACUAUUCUCCUCAAGCCCAAACGCCAGAGCAGCAACCAAAUAGGAUGAAUGGAGAUAAACUCCGAAGAAGCAUGCCUAACCUAGCUCGGAUGCCAAGUACUCCUACCAUUAAUAGCAAUGCAAGUUCUCCAGUCACUGUGAGGAAUAGUCAGAGCUUUGAUUCCAAUCUACAUGGAGCUGGUAAUGGGAUUUCAAGAAUGCAGUCUUGUAUUCCAUCUCCAGGACAACUGCAGCAUAGAGUUCAUAGUGUGGGACAUUUUCCAGUGUCUGUCAGACAGCCUCUGAAAGCUACAGCAUAUGUAAGCCCAACUGUGCAAGGCAGCAGUAAUAUUCCUGUGUCCAGUAGCUUGCAGUUGCAUUCUAACACUGGAAUCCCAAUGCCAAACAAGACUGCCAAUGCAGGGAUUGUUGGACGCAGUGCUCUUCCAAGACCGUCAUUGGCCGUAAGUGGUAGUAGCAUACCCAGGAGUAAAAUUGCACAGCCCGUUCGAAGUUUUCUUCAGCCUCCAAAGCCACUUUCUUCACUUAGUACUCUACGAGACGGGAGUUGGAGAGAUGGCUGCUACUGAUGUUGAAUACCCCUGAACAACAGAAAAUAAAUGAUGCAGAUUUGAUUUACCCA